GCUCAAUUUCCCAUCGUCGUCGGGUCACACAAGCACAAGCCCUAAACCUUCUCGGCAUCUCGCGGGCGGUGUUGUUACGGUUGGCGGCGAAUUCGGCCUGUGCAACCACCAGCAGUGGCGACGCAUCUCGCAGAUCUCGGAGUGUUCGGAGACGCAUCUCACUGCUGGCAAUUCCCCUCGACCCUAGAUCCAAUCUAUCUCCGAUUCCUCUGCUUCAUCGGGGACAAGUUGCGCGAUGACUACAAAGAAUCUUAAAAACAAGAGGGGGGCUGAGAGAGGCGUGACUCGGGAACGGAGAACCAGAACUAGAAGGGACAAACUCCAGCUUUCAAGUGGCAGUGAUGGCCCAAAACACUCACCCCCAAAAAGAUUGUGCCGGGCCAUUAGAAGAAUGUUGAGAUUACAAGCGAGUCGGGCAGCGUUGGCUGAAUUUGAUGAUAAACUAUGUGCUAUUGAGGAGGAACGAUUUGGCACCACGUUUCCUGAUCGGGAAGUCUCAAACAUCUGCUUUAAAGAGAAACCAUUUGGUGAUGAAGUUAAAAGUGACGAAGAACUUUGUGAA
This is a long non-coding RNA of Setaria italica (foxtail millet), 562 nucleotides long. RefSeq lists it as uncharacterized. The record is from RefSeq and is a predicted model, not a curated record. The transcript has 3 exons. Lineage: Eukaryota; Viridiplantae; Streptophyta; Magnoliopsida; Poales; Poaceae.